UUGCGGCCCCGAUCGCAACGGAAAUCCUUUUUUUUCGGAGCGGAGCGGAGUAAAAAAAGAUUGUAGUGUAGAGCGGGAAAUGUC
This 84-nucleotide small RNA is filed under the name Halpernia humi. Its description in RNAcentral is "Chryseobacterium humi Flavo-1 RNA". It matches the Rfam family "Flavo-1 RNA". The record is from RNAcentral. Lineage: Bacteria; Pseudomonadati; Bacteroidota; Flavobacteriia; Flavobacteriales; Weeksellaceae.